RNAcentral lists this ribosomal RNA (560 nucleotides) under uncultured fungus. RNAcentral describes it as "eukaryotic LSU rRNA". The stretch from base 198 to 351 matches the Rfam family "5.8S ribosomal RNA". The record is from RNAcentral. Lineage: Eukaryota; Fungi.
UCUCCGUAGGUGAACCUGCGGAGGGAUCAUUACACAAAUAUGAAGGCGGGCUGGAACCUCUCGGGGUUACAGCCUUGCUGAAUUAUUCACCCUUGUCUUUUGCGUACUUCUUGUUUCCUUGGUGGGUUCGCCCACCACUAGGACAAACAUAAACCUUUUGUAAUUGCAAUCAGCGUCAGUAACAAAUUAAUAAUUACAACUUUCAACAACGGAUCUCUUGGUUCUGGCAUCGAUGAAGAACGCAGCGAAAUGCGAUAAGUAGUGUGAAUUGCAGAAUUCAGUGAAUCAUCGAAUCUUUGAACGCACAUUGCGCCCUUUGGUAUUCCAAAGGGCAUGCCUGUUCGAGCGUCAUUUGUACCCUCAAGCUAUGCUUGGUGUUGGGCGUCUUGUCUCUAGCUUUGCUGGAGACUCGCCUUAAAGUAAUUGGCAGCCGGCCUACUGGUUUCGGAGCGCAGCACAAGUCGCACUCUCUAUCAGCAAAGGUCUAGCAUCCAUUAAGCCUUUUUUUCAACUUUUGACCUCGGAUCAGGUAGGGAUACCCGCUGAACUUAAGCAUAUCA